Molecule: ribosomal RNA, 501 nt
Filed under: uncultured bacterium
Lineage: Bacteria
Description: partial 16S ribosomal RNA
Rfam family: Bacterial small subunit ribosomal RNA
Source: RNAcentral
AUUGAACGCUGGCGGCAGGCUUAACACAUGCAAGUCGAGCGGAGAUGAGGUGCUUGCACCUCAUCUUAGCGGCGGACGGGUGAGUAAUGCUUAGGAAUCUGCCUAUUAGUGGGGGACAACAUUCCGAAAGGAAUGCUAAUACCGCAUACGUCCUACGGGAGAAAGCAGGGGAUCUUCGGACCUUGCGAUAAUAGAUGAGCCUAAGUCGGAUUAGCUAGUUGGUGGGGUAAAGGCCUACCAAGGCGACGAUCUGUAGCGGGUCUGAGAGGAUGAUCCGCCACACUGGGACUGAGACGCGGCCCAGACUCCUACGGGAGGCAGCAGUGGGGAAUAUUGGACAAUGGGGGGAACCCUGAUCCAGCCAUGCCGCGUGUGUGAAGAAGGCCUUAUGGUUGUAAAGCACUUUAAGCGAGGAGGAGGCUACUGAGACUAAUACUCUUGGAUAGUGGACGUUACUCGCAGAAUAAGCACCGGCUAACUCUGUGCCAGCCGCCGCGGUAA